Molecule: ribosomal RNA, 278 nt
Filed under: uncultured bacterium
Lineage: Bacteria
Description: partial 16S ribosomal RNA
Rfam family: Bacterial small subunit ribosomal RNA
Source: RNAcentral
UGCCAGCAGUCGCGGUAAUACGGAGGGGGCUAGCGUUGUUCGGAAUUACUGGGCGUAAAGCGCGCGUAGGCGGUUUAGCAAGUUGAAGGUGAAAUCCCGGGGCCCAACCCCGGAACUGCCUCCAAAACUGCUAGUCUUGAGUUCGAGAGAGGUGAGUGGAAUUCCGAGUGUAGAGGUGAAAUUCGUAGAUAUUCGGAGGAACACCAGUGGCGAAGGCGGCUCACUGGACCGAUACUGACGCUGAGACGCGAAGGCGUGGGUAGCGAACGGAUUAGAUA